RNAcentral lists this ribosomal RNA (484 nucleotides) under uncultured bacterium. RNAcentral's name for it is "partial 16S ribosomal RNA". It matches the Rfam family "Bacterial small subunit ribosomal RNA", at positions 29 to 507 of the family's 1533-position model. The record is from RNAcentral.
AUUGAACGCUGGCGGCAUGCUUUACACAUGCAAGUCGAACGGCAGCGCGGGCUUCGGCCUGGCGGCGAGCGGCGAACGGGUGUGUAAUACAUCGGAACGUGCCCAGGAGUGGGGGAUAGACCCGCGAAAGCAGGAUUAAUACCACAUACGACCUGGGGGUGAAAGCGGGGGAUCUUCGGACCUCGCGCUAUUGGAGCGGCCGAUGGCAGAUUAGCUAGUUGGUGGGGUAAAGGCCUACCAAGGCGACGAUCUGUAGCUGGUCUGAGAGGACGACCAGCCACACUGGGACUGAGACACGGCCCAGACUCCUACGGGAGGCAGCAGUGGGGAAUUUUGGACAAUGGGCGAAAGCCUGAUCCAGCAAUGCCGCGUGUGUGAUGAAGGCCUUCGGGUUGUAAAGCACUUUUGGCGGGAACGAAAAGGACUGUGCCAAUACCACGGUUCGAUGACGGUACCCGCAGAAUAAGCACCGGCUAACUACGUG